CUAGCAUUUUCAUAGGUUCUCCUCCAGGAAGUGGGGUUAGCAUUUGGUAGCUGGUGCUAAAAGAAAAAUCUUUGAUUACAUUCUUGACCCGGUAUUGUACUAGGGACAACUGUCAUUCAGCCUCUAGUC
Small nucleolar RNA from Dipodomys ordii (Ord's kangaroo rat), 129 nucleotides. Lineage: Eukaryota; Metazoa; Chordata; Mammalia; Rodentia; Heteromyidae. The record is from Ensembl.